This 1247-nucleotide ribosomal RNA is filed under the name metagenome. RNAcentral's name for it is "bacterial LSU rRNA". It matches the Rfam family "Bacterial large subunit ribosomal RNA", at positions 1691 to 2925 of the family's 2925-position model. The record is from RNAcentral.
UGAGAGAACCCAGGUGAAGGAACUCGGCAAAUUAGCACCGUAACUUCGGGAGAAGGUGCGCCCCGGUAGAUUGUAGUGGCUUGCCCACGAAGGUCGAUGGGGUUGCAGUGAAAAGGUGGCUGCGACUGUUUAACAAAAACACAGCACUCUGCAAACACGAAAGUGGACGUAUAGGGUGUGACUCCUGCCCGGUGCCGGAAGGUUAAUUGAUGGGGUGCAAGCUCUUGAUCGAAGCCCCGGUAAACGGCGGCCGUAACGAUAGCGGUCCUAAGGUAGCGAAAUUCCUUGUCGGGUAAGUUCCGACCCGCACGAAUGGAGUAACGAUGGCCACACUGUCUCCACCUGGGACUCAGCGAAAUUGAAAUGGUUGUGAAGAUGCAAUCUACCCGCGGCUAGACGGAAAGACCCCGUGCACCUUUACUGUAGCUUUACAUUGGACUUUGACAAGACGUGUGUAGGAUAGGUGGGAGACUAUGAAGUGGGAACGCUAGUUCUCAUGGAGUCAACCUUGAAAUACCACCCUCGUGUUGUUGAGGUUCUAACCUUGGUCCAUCAUCUGGAUUGGGGACAGUGUAUGGUAGGCAGUUUGACUGGGGCGGUCUCCUCCCAAAGAGUAACGGAGGAGUUCGAAGGUAUCCUAGAUACGGUCGGAAAUCGUAUUGAUAGUGCAAUGGCAUAAGGAUGCUUGACUGCGAGACUGACACGUCGAGCAGGUGCGAAAGCAGGACAUAGUGAUCCGGUGGUUCUGUAUGGAAGGGCCAUCGCUCAACGGAUAAAAGGUACGCCGGGGAUAACAGGCUGAUACCGCCCAAGAGUUCAUAUCGACGGCGGUGUUUGGCACCUCGAUGUCGGCUCAUCACAUCCUGGGGCUGUAGCCGGUCCCAAGGGUAUGGCUGUUCGCCAUUUAAAGUGGUACGUGAGCUGGGUUCAAAACGUCGUGAGACAGUUUGGUCCCUAUCUACCGUGGGCGCUGGAAGUUUGAGGGGGGCUGCUUCUAGUACGAGAGGACCGAAGUGGACGCACCUCUGGUGUACCGGUUGUCACGCCAGUGGCAUAGCCGGGUAGCUAUGUGCGGAAAAGAUAAUCGCUGAAAGCAUCUAAGCGAGAAACUUGCCUCAAGAUAAGACUUCCCUGGAGACUUGAUCUCCCUAAAGGGUCGUUGCAGACUACAACGUUGAUAGGCUGGGUGUGUAAGCGCAGUAAUGCGUUGAGCUAACCAGUACUGAUUGCCCGUGAGGCUUGAUCCU